UGUAAAUUACGUAUUAUAAAAGAAAACCAUUUAAAAAAAUAAAUUCUAUUGGAUUAACAUAAAAAUAUAAAAUAAUUCAUUAUGAAACUAAAUAAUAAUAAUAUAAAAGAAAACAGAAGUGUUUUAUCAUACUAAAACCAUCAAACAAAACCUAAAUCUCUGCCCCUUUUUCUCACUGUUUUGAAACCCAGAAUCCCCAUUUCCACCCCGAUUCAGACGAAGUGAAGGAGGACUCCAAUGCGCGCUCACACAGGUAAAUCCUUUGCCUUCUUUUCUAUUUUUUUGACACACAAUCAAUCAAAUAUAGAAAAGAAAAGCAACAAAAAUAAAAAAAACUCCAAUCACCUUAAAAAUCUGAUUUGCUUUUUAAGUUUUUGAUAUUUUUUUGUAUUGAUUUUCGUAUCCAGUAUCCGUUUUACAGAGUUGUAUUUGGCUUUAUAUAGCCAAAAUAACAGAAAAAUGAAAAAUGAAAAAAUAUAAAAAUUCUAUUCUGUUAUUUUCUUUGCUGUCAUUCGGUUUCCUUCAUUGUUGUUUGUUGCAGGUGUGAGGCCAGCUGGAAGCGAGGAGCACGUGGGUGAGGCCGACGCAUGGCGGUGGUGCAGCACGUGCUAAGGGAAGCCUGGACUCGACUGCGGCGCAAGGAUUUUCAGAAACCCUAGAAGCUUCUGGGGUAUUCCUCCGAUUUGGGCUACGGUUUGGGCUUGUAAUUCGGGUUUGGGUGUGGGUAAAUGGUUUUGGGUUAGUGAAUUUGUGCUUUGGGUUUGUAUUGUAUUUGGACUAGUAUCGGCUUUUGUAAUUUGGACAUUAACUGGACUUUAUUAUUUUUUUUGUUUUUAUUUAUUCAUUGGGCCGACAAGAAUGGGCUAUGGCAAUUAGUAAAAAUAAAAGAGCUAGUACAUCCAUCAAUCGUUGUAAGUGAUUGGAAAAACGAGACGAUGCCAUAAUAUAGUUCUAAAAAGAAGAAAAACAAUAAAGCUAGUAACACAAAAAAAUCAAAGAAAAACUAGCCUAAACAAAUUGGAGACCAAACAAAAAAAACACGACCUAAAUAGUUGAAAGAUGAAACGACCCUCCACAAAAUAUUGCAUUUAACCACCACCAUUCUUGAAAAAUCAAGCUUAUGAUUUCCGCAUCCCACUGAUGAUGGCAUCUCAACUAUUUCGCCCAACUCACUCCUUCUAACUUAAUCGCCUCAGAGUCCUAAAAUAAUCAUUCCUUCGGUGCUAGAAAACCAACUCAACCCUAUUCUAACAUGGCCCUUCAAUCCCAUUUUGCUUCUACUUCUACCUCACCCGGAGCUUCC
Molecule: long non-coding RNA, 1303 nt
Filed under: Gossypium barbadense (sea-island cotton)
Lineage: Eukaryota; Viridiplantae; Streptophyta; Magnoliopsida; Malvales; Malvaceae
Description: long non-coding RNA (GBAR_LNC015727)
Source: RNAcentral